AGCGAACGCUGGCGGCGUGCCUAACACAUGCAAGUCGAGCGCGGGCAUUUCGGGGGUAACCCCGGGAUGUGCUGAGCGGCGGACGAGUGAGUAAUACGUGGACAACCUGCCUUAAAGCUUGGGAUAACUCCGGGAAACUGGAGCUAAUACCGGAUAAGACCACGGUGUCUAUGGAUGCUGAGUAAAAGGCGGCCAGGAAACUGGCUGUUGCUUAAAGAUGGGUCCACGUCCCAUCAGGUAGUUGGUGAGGUAAAGGCUCACCAAGCCAAAGACGGGUAGCUGGCCUUAGCGGGUGGUCAGCCAC
RNAcentral lists this ribosomal RNA (304 nucleotides) under uncultured bacterium. RNAcentral describes it as "bacterial SSU rRNA". It matches the Rfam family "Bacterial small subunit ribosomal RNA", at positions 29 to 311 of the family's 1533-position model. The record is from RNAcentral.